Molecule: non-coding RNA, 136 nt
Organism: Erinaceus europaeus (western European hedgehog)
Lineage: Eukaryota; Metazoa; Chordata; Mammalia; Eulipotyphla; Erinaceidae
Source: Rfam
CAAGCAUUUUUUUUCUUUUUCUUUUUCUUUUUUAAAAAAAUAUCUUGACAAACACAGGUGCUAACAGAAAAGGGUACCUUGUCACCUUUGGAGGACUUUCUGUGCUCUUCAAUGUGAAUUUAGAGGUUCUACACAC